Molecule: ribosomal RNA, 440 nt
Filed under: uncultured bacterium
Lineage: Bacteria
Description: partial 16S ribosomal RNA
Rfam family: Bacterial small subunit ribosomal RNA
Source: RNAcentral
CCUACGGGUGGCAGCAGUGGGGAAUAUUGCACAAUGGGGGAAACCCUGAUGCAGCGACGCCGCGUGAAGGAAGAAGUAUUUCGGUAUGUAAACUUCUAUCAGCGGGGACGAAAAUGCCGGUACCUGAAUAAGAAGCCCCGGCUAACUACGUGCCAGCAGCCGCGGUCAUACGUAGGGGGCAAGCAUUAUCCGGAUUUACUGGUGGUAAAGGGAGCGGAGGCGGUGAUGCAAGUCAGAAGUGAAAGCCCGCAGCUCAACUGGGGGACGGCUUUUGAGACUGUAUGACUAGAUUGCAGGAGAGGUAAGUGGAAUUCCUAGUGUAGCGGUGAAAUGCGUAGAUAUUAGGAGGAACACCAGUGGCGAAGGCGGCUUACUGGACUGUAAAUGACGCUGAGGCUCGAAAGCGUGGGGAGCAAACAGGAUUAGAUACCCGAGUAGUC